Molecule: long non-coding RNA, 272 nt
Filed under: Zostera marina
Lineage: Eukaryota; Viridiplantae; Streptophyta; Magnoliopsida; Alismatales; Zosteraceae
Description: long non-coding RNA (ZMAR_LNC005189)
Source: RNAcentral
CAUCGACAAAAACAAACUCGUUCUUAUUCCUCUUCGUAGGAGGGUCUCGAAGAAGAGGCCUAUGACCAGUAGAAGAUGGUCGACUCGAACAAGAGAUCAUUGUCUCAGAAUAAGAGGCAGCAGAAAAAGAAAAGUAAUGAAAAAACAGACUAGCAGUGGGUUUGAUAUGCAAGUCCCGAAGAACAUUCAGAAAACCAUGGGCGUAGAAGAAGAAAGCAAGACCCGAUUGGGAUAUGCACACGCCAGCAAAUAUCAGAAUUUCACUAAUAAAA